Molecule: non-coding RNA, 692 nt
Organism: Schizosaccharomyces pombe (fission yeast)
Lineage: Eukaryota; Fungi; Ascomycota; Schizosaccharomycetes; Schizosaccharomycetales; Schizosaccharomycetaceae
Source: the annotation of a GenBank genome assembly
CAAAGAUAGCGGUUGCCAAAUGUUUUUGCCUUUAUUUACUUGAAAUGUAAAAAAUCAUUCAAUGGAAAGUUGCAUCCUUUGGAUAUCGCAUAAAUAGACGACUGGAUCGUCUUAUUUCUAUUUUCAUAUGGAAUAUUGGCAGUAGAUGGUUGGAUUGUUUUAAAAAACUUGCAUAUCUGGAUAUAAUGUGAUUGAGAUUGUUUCAGCAAGGAUGGAUAAACAAAAAAGAAAGUAGUAUCGUAAUUUCUAUGUCUUAUUUAUCGUUAUCAAAACGGUAUGGUAACAAACCAGUCAAGCUACUGUUUACCCAGUUUCCAGCUUUAUUUUAUCGUUUAAAAUUUUUACUAAUGUAAAUUUUGUUAAAAGUCAAGGGUUAUAUGGAGGCAGAAUAGUUAUAUUUCAAUCAGAUCCUUUUGGAAUGAUUGCAAUUAGGAUUCUUGGUCUAUUAGGGCAUUUACUAUUUAACAGUAAGUUAUGACUCGGUAGAGUAGUAGGUAAAACAUACUUUAAGAAUAGUUCUUUGUUUGAUUAUUCAGUUUCCUUAAUUUUUUUGUGCUGAUAUUUUAGAAUAAAAAUACUAUUCAAUGAACAAUUUUAAUUUAUUUAUUUUAUUUUUUUUGCUUUUUUCCCGCUAUACUCCGUUUUUCAUUGCUAACUAAUUUUUUACACUGUUGUAGCCAUGAAUACUUAAU